GUAGGUGGCAAGCGUUGUCCGGAAUUAUUGGGCGUAAAGCGCGCGCAGGUGGUUCUUUAAGUCUGAUGUGAAAGCCCCCGGCUCAACCGGGGAGGGUCAUUGGAAACUGGGGAACUUGAGUGCAGGAGAGGAAAGUGGAAUUCCACGUGUAGCGGUGAAAUGCGUAGAUAUGUGGAGGAACACCAGUGGCGAAGGCGACUUUCUGGCCUGUAACUGACACUGAGGCGCGAAAGCGUGGUGAGCAAACAGGGAUUAGAUACCCUGGUAGUCCACGCCGUAAACGAUGAGUGCUAAGUGUUGGGGGGGUUUCCCGCCCCUCAGUGCUGCAGCUAACGCAUUAAGCACUCCGCCUGGGGAUACGGUCGCAAGACUG
This 373-nucleotide ribosomal RNA is filed under the name uncultured organism. RNAcentral's name for it is "partial 16S ribosomal RNA". It matches the Rfam family "Bacterial small subunit ribosomal RNA", at positions 527 to 896 of the family's 1533-position model. The record is from RNAcentral.